GGGAGUGGGGCUCAGUGGAAGAGCCUUUGCUUUGCGUGCAGAAGGUCCCAGGUUCAAUUUCUGGCAUCUCCA
Molecule: transfer RNA, 72 nt
Filed under: Sphaerodactylus townsendi
Lineage: Eukaryota; Metazoa; Chordata; Lepidosauria; Squamata; Sphaerodactylidae
Description: tRNA-Ala
Rfam family: tRNA
About the family: Transfer RNA (tRNA) molecules are approximately 80 nucleotides in length. Their secondary structure includes four short double-helical elements and three loops (D, anti-codon, and T loops).
Source: RNAcentral